This is a long non-coding RNA of Dermochelys coriacea (leatherback sea turtle), 546 nucleotides long. RefSeq lists it as uncharacterized. Lineage: Eukaryota; Metazoa; Chordata; Testudines; Dermochelyidae. The transcript is spliced from 4 exons. The record is from RefSeq and is a predicted model, not a curated record.
GUUGUUGUGUAAGCUUCUCAUCGGUACGAUACACUCCAAAAAUAACUAGUUAAACCUUUGCUCCUGACAGCCACGCACAGAUCACACACCCGCCUCCAUCUGUGCUGCAGUCACCCUGUUUCCCACUGACAAGGUCAGCCAACAAAAGUAUGGGAUCUCCACCUUCUGGAGACAGCAGCGCUGGAGCUUUGCAUCCACCCACAAUGAUGCAGGGAAGAAGAGCUGCAAGAAAAACAAGACAGAGCUUCCAUCAGCCUGUACCUGAGGUCCUGCCUUCCACCUGCCUGACCAUCUGGAUCGGGACUGGAGCCAGUCCUGUCAUGCACCGGUGCCAGGGAUAAAGCUGCAGGAUAUGGAUUUGUCCUCCAUCUAACCUACCCGGAAUCAACCUUUGGAAGGGAGCCAAGCCCUCUUUGUCACAGCCAGUGGCCCUUUUAUAUUCGGUUCCCUUGUUUUUUCAGUUAUAAUUUGGGAGUCCUUAUAGUUACUUACCUGAGUGUGACAGACCCAGACCUGUGGGGUACAGGAGUCUGGGUAGAGGGCAAA